Molecule: transfer RNA, 61 nt
Filed under: Matsucoccus matsumurae
Lineage: Eukaryota; Metazoa; Arthropoda; Insecta; Hemiptera; Margarodidae
Description: tRNA-Pro
Source: RNAcentral
CAAAAUUUAGUUUAAUAAUAAAAUAUUAAUUUUGGAUAUUAAAGAUUUAUAUAAAUUUUGA